RNAcentral lists this ribosomal RNA (760 nucleotides) under uncultured bacterium. RNAcentral's name for it is "bacterial SSU rRNA". It matches the Rfam family "Bacterial small subunit ribosomal RNA", at positions 63 to 812 of the family's 1533-position model. The record is from RNAcentral.
CGAACGGUAACAGGAAGAAGCUUGCUUCUUUGCUGACGAGUGGCGGACGGGUGAGUAAUGUCUGGGAAACUGCCUGAUGGAGGGGGAUAACUACUGGAAACGGUAGCUAAUACCGCAUAACGUCGCAAGACCAAAGAGGGGGACCUUCGGGCCUCUUGCCAUCGGAUGUGCCCAGAUGGGAUUAGCUAGUAGGUGGGGUAACGGCUCACCUAGGCGACGAUCCCUAGCUGGUCUGAGAGGAUGACCAGCCACACUGGAACUGAGACACGGUCCAGACUCCUACGGGAGGCAGCAGUGGGGAAUAUUGCACAAUGGGCGCAAGCCUGAUGCAGCCAUGCCGCGUGUAUGAAGAAGGCCUUCGGGUUGUAAAGUACUUUCAGCGGGGAGGAAGGGAGUAAAGUUAAUACCUUUACUCAUUGACGUUACCCGCAGAAGAAGCACCGGCUAACUCCGUGCCAGCAGCCGCGGUAAUACGGAGGGUGCAAGCGCUAAUCGGAAUUACUGGGCGUAAAGCGCACGCAGGCGGUUUGUUAAGUCAGAUGUGAAAUCCCCGGGCUCAACCUGGGAACUGCAUCUGAUACUGGCAAGCUUGAGUCUCGUAGAGGGGGGUAGAAUUCCAGGUGUAGCGGUGAAAUGCGUAGAGAUCUGGAGGAAUACCGGUGGCGAAGGCGGCCCCCUGGACGAAGACUGACGCUCAGGUGCGAAAGCGUGAGGAGCAAACAGGAUUAGAUACCCUGGUAGUCCACGCCGUAAACGAUGU